UCUAAAGAUUUUUCAAAUUACAAAACAAUACGAACUUGAGAAUCACAAACUGAAAGAAGCCACAGUUGCCCCCAGUUCAUAUUUUGAAUUCAUGUUAGACCAGGUUCAGGUUCUGCUUGGCAACUUUGGGCAAGUUAUUUCACCUCUCGAAGUUGCUACUUUUCACCUGAAAGCGGGGGGCUGAUCAAGCCCACAUCUUAAGCUCGCUAGGAGUUUUACAAGAGGCAAUAAAGGCAAAGCCCCUAGGGCGCAGGACUUGGCACUCUGCAGCAGGGCAGGGAGGCGGGUCCUGACUUCGUGACAGUGGCCACACUCCCAGGCUCACGUGCGCGGCGCGCUGGUCCAGGGAGAGCUCCAGAUCCCUGUGCUGAAGCUCGAAUCCAGUAUGGCUGGUGUCCUUAUAGGAAGAGAGAGAGACACCAAGGAUGUCUGUGCACAGAGGAAAGUGCCACGUGAGGACACAGUGGGGAGGCAGCCACCUGCUGGCCCUAGGGAAUGGCCUCGGCAGAAACUGCACCUGCUGACCCCACGCUCUUGAACGUCUUGCCUCCAGAAGAAAUAGAGGAAGAGAAAAAUCGAUUUCUGUUUAAGCCACUCAGUCUGUCGUACUUUGCCACAGCAGCCCUAGCCAACUGAUACAUAGACUUAUGAACUGUCUCAUAUGAGGUGGGCAGAGCUCUGAGACGACCCCAAUUCCUGCCCUCUGAGGCAGACACAGCUUCACCCUGUUAGUCUAACACAGAUCUAGGUGCUGCUUUGAAGGGACUUUGCAGCUGUAAUUAAGGUCCCAAAUCAGUCAACUUUAAGAAAGAGAGAGAAAUUAUCCUGGGUGAUCCUGAGCUAAUCAGGUGAGCCCUUAAAAGGAACUGCGCUCCUCCUCGGGAGGGAGAUUCAAAGCUUGAGAAGACUUCCCAUGAGGGAGCUUCUCCACUCCUGGCUUUGGAGGUGGAUGGAGCCAUGUUGCAAGGAAGGUGGCUGCCCUGGAGGAGCUGAGAGUGUCCCCCAUUUCACAGCCAGCAAGGAAAUGGAGACCUCAGUCCCGUAGCUGCGAGGAACUGAAUUUGGCCAACAGUGACAAAAAAAGGAGCCUAAGAAGGAGCUUGGCUUGGCCCAUACCUUCAUUUCAGCCUUGUGCGCCCCCAGAGAACCUAGUCAUGCUGGGCCCAGACUACUGCUGGUAGAACUGUGAGCGAUGUUGUUUUAAGCCACUAAACUUGUGGUAAUUUGUUAUUCCAAAAUAGAAAAUGAAGACAUCAAAUUAUGAAUAGAGAUAGGGACACAGAUUUGCAGUGACCUGCGGUGCAAAUGAUAAAGCAAAUGAAUAAAAUGUUAACAAUAAGCAAAUUUGGGUAAAGGGUAUAUGAUUGUUCCCUGUACUACUUUUAUUUUUGUAACUUUUUAAAGUUUG
This 1408-nucleotide long non-coding RNA is filed under the name Equus caballus (horse). RNAcentral's name for it is "lncRNA (ENSECAG00000051208.1)". The record is from RNAcentral. Lineage: Eukaryota; Metazoa; Chordata; Mammalia; Perissodactyla; Equidae.